GGUUCCAUAACUCAGUUGGUUAGAGUGUGGUGCUAAUAAACAGUCGCCUGACCGUUUGUGACGCCAAAGUCGAGGGUUCGACCCCCUCUGGGACCA
Aspergillus nidulans FGSC A4 is the source of this 96-nucleotide transfer RNA. It matches the Rfam family "tRNA". Rfam says of the family: Transfer RNA (tRNA) molecules are approximately 80 nucleotides in length. Their secondary structure includes four short double-helical elements and three loops (D, anti-codon, and T loops). Further hydrogen bonds mediate the characteristic L-shaped molecular structure. tRNAs have two regions of fundamental functional importance: the anti-codon, which is responsible for specific mRNA codon recognition, and the 3' end, to which the tRNAs corresponding amino acid is attached (by aminoacyl-tRNA synthetases). tRNAs cope with the degeneracy of the genetic code in two manners: having more than one tRNA (with a specific anti-codon) for a particular amino acid; and 'wobble' base-pairing, i.e. permitting non-standard base-pairing at the 3rd anti-codon position. Lineage: Eukaryota; Fungi; Ascomycota; Eurotiomycetes; Eurotiales; Aspergillaceae. The record is from Rfam.